Molecule: non-coding RNA, 87 nt
Organism: Thalictrum thalictroides
Lineage: Eukaryota; Viridiplantae; Streptophyta; Magnoliopsida; Ranunculales; Ranunculaceae
Source: the annotation of a GenBank genome assembly
GUAUGCCUGGCUCCCUGUAUGCCAUUUGCUUAGUCCAUUUUAGUACGAGAUGGCCUUUGUGGAUGGCGUGCGAGGAGCCAUGCAUAU